UACGUAGGGAGCGAGCGUUGUCCGGAAUUACUGGGCGUAAAGAGCUCGUAGGUGGUUUGUCGCGUUGUUCGUGAAAACUCACAGCUUAACUGUGGGCGUGCGGGCGAUACGGGCAGACUGGAGUACUGCAGGGGAGACUGGAAUUCCUGGUGUAGCGGUGGAAUGCGCAGAUAUCAGGAGGAACACCGGUGGCGAAGGCGGGUCUCUGGGCAGUAACUGACGCUGAGGCGCUAAAGCGUGGGGAGCGUACAGG
Molecule: ribosomal RNA, 253 nt
Filed under: uncultured bacterium
Lineage: Bacteria
Description: partial 16S ribosomal RNA
Rfam family: Bacterial small subunit ribosomal RNA
Source: RNAcentral